AGAGAAGUUACAAAGGGCGAACAGAGGAUGCCUUGGCUUCUGGUAGCGAAGAAGGACGCGGAAAGCUGCGAAAAAGUACGGGGAUUGGCCAACACGAAUUGAUCCGUACGUCUCCGAAUGGGGCAACCCACUUGACUGAAGGUCAAGUACACUUACGAGUGAGCAAACGCAGGGAACUGAAACAUCUCAUUACCUGCAGGAAAAGAAAGAAAAAUCGAUUUCCUUAGUAGUGGCGAGCGAACAGGAAAGAGCCUAAACCGAUGUUGUUGCGGCAAUAUCGGGGUUGAAGGAUUAUCCAUUAUACUUUGUUAUAUAAUUAGAAUUACCUGGAAAGGUAAGCCGUAGAGGGUGAUAGCCCCGUAUAAGUAGGAAUAAUGAAGUUAGCGAUAACACCUGAGUAGGGCGGGACACGAGGAAUCCUGUCUGAAUCUACGGGGCCCAUCCCGUAAGGCUAAAUAUGACCAGAAGACCGAUAGUGAACCAGUACUGUGAAGGAAAGGUGAAAAGAACCCCGAACAGGGGAGUGAAAAAGAACCUGAAACCAUACGCUUACAACCUGUCGGAGCCACUUUGUGUGGUGACGGCGUGCCUAUUGAAUAAUGAGCCUACGAGUUACUAAUCACUAGCGAGGUUAAGUGCGGGAAAGCACGGAGCCGAAGCGAAAGCGAGUCUGAAUAGGGCGGUUAGUUAGUGGUUGUAGACGCGAAACCUUGCGAUCUACCCUUGAGCAGGAUGAAGGUUGGGUAACACCAACUGGAGGUCCGAACGAAUAAGCGUUGAAAAGCUUCUCGAUGACUUGAGGGUAGGGGUGAAAGGCUAAUCAAGCUGGGAAAUAGCUCGUACUCCCCGAAAUGCCUUUAGGGGCAGCGUUGUAAUAGAGAGUCUACCGGAGGUAGAGCUACUGAUUGGAUGCGGGGGCUUCACCGCCUACCAAAUCCUGACAAACUCCGAAUGCCGGUAGUAUGAUUUACAGCAGUGAGCCAGUGGGUGCUAAUGUCCACUGACAAAAGAGGAACAACUCAGACCAGCAACUAAGGUCCCCAAGCAUAUGCUAAGUUAAACUAACGAUGUUUUGUUGCAUAGACAGCUAGGAUGUUAGCUUGGAAGCAGCUAUUCAUUCAAAGAG
RNAcentral lists this ribosomal RNA (1126 nucleotides) under Bacteroidales bacterium. Its description in RNAcentral is "partial 23S ribosomal RNA". It matches the Rfam family "Bacterial large subunit ribosomal RNA", at positions 1 to 1130 of the family's 2925-position model. Lineage: Bacteria; Pseudomonadati; Bacteroidota; Bacteroidia; Bacteroidales. The record is from RNAcentral.